RNAcentral lists this ribosomal RNA (497 nucleotides) under uncultured bacterium. Its description in RNAcentral is "partial 16S ribosomal RNA". It matches the Rfam family "Bacterial small subunit ribosomal RNA", at positions 28 to 507 of the family's 1533-position model. The record is from RNAcentral.
GACGAACGCUGGCGGCGUGCCUAAUACAUGCAAGUAGAACGCUGAAGCUUGGUGCUUGCACCGAGCGGAUGAGUUGCGCACGUGUGAGUAACGCGUAGGUAACCUGCCUGGUAGCGGGGGAUAACUAUUGGAAACGAUAGCUAAUACCGCAUAAGAUUAGAUGUUGCAUGACAUUUGCUUAAAAGGUGCAAUUUCAUCACUACCAGAUGGACCUGCGUUGUAUUAGCUAGUUGGUGAGGUAACGGCUCACCAAGGCAACGAUACAUAGCCGACCUGAGAGGGUGAGCGGCCACACUGGGACUGAGACACGGCCCAGACUCCUACGGGAGGGAGCAGUAGGGAAUCUUCGGCAAUGGACGGAAGUCUGACCGAGCAACGCCGCGUGAGUGAAGAAGGUUUUCGGAUCGUAAAGCUCGGUUGUAAGAGAAGAACGAGUGUGAGAGUGGAAAGUUCACAGUGUGACGGUAACUUACCAGAAAGGGACGGCUAACUACGUG